Molecule: long non-coding RNA, 782 nt
Filed under: Mytilus galloprovincialis (Mediterranean mussel)
Lineage: Eukaryota; Metazoa; Mollusca; Bivalvia; Mytilida; Mytilidae
Source: RNAcentral
UUUCGGUGUUGGUUCUACAGAAAUUGUUAACAACUUUAUCUGACUAUAUAUUUGAUGCUAUAUUUAAGCAUUGAAACCUACUCGUGCUAUUUUGUAACAGCUGUCAUUAAGCCAACUAGGUCAAUAAUUAAAAAUUAUAAUUUUAACAAACACAAUUUUGUUCUGUACUUGUAAUGAACGCUUACAUAGUUUACUUCCUAUUAUAACAAAUUAGAAUUCUAAAAUAUAAGUAACAUCUACUAAAACAAUCAGAUUCUAAAUAUGUAUUAUCUUUAAAAUGUUAAGUGAUGAUCCACUUCUUAUAUUUCACAAUGGCCUAGAAUAUCAAGAUGCAACAAAGAUAGAUAACUUGUCACUUGUUGAUUUUACUUAAACAUUACUGCAGAUCGACAGUUGAUAGUAUUGAAACACGUGGUGAUGACGUUACCGUUGAUUAUAAAAUUCAUCUUUUUAAACGACAUGGCACACAAAUUAACAGACAGGUUGACGUUUUGCAUACUGCACCCUCUCGAAGAUUAAACGGGUUCGUUUUUGCAUACUGCAGUUGGAAUUAUUGAUAUAUAUUCUUUUCGUAAUCUUUGAAUUAUACAUUUUAUUCCGAUAUUUAAACUCAUAUUGAUUCAUUGAUAUGCUUUAUUCCUUAUAGUUAGAUAACGUGAGAAUAUUUUAUAGUCAUUUUCUUUGAAGGUUCAAGUACGUAAAUGGACGAUAAAACCCAUGUCUUUCAAAACAAGGAAUGAUAAACUGCACAAUGAUACCAGAAAAGGAUAUAUGUAACUUUU